Molecule: long non-coding RNA, 268 nt
Organism: Artibeus jamaicensis (Jamaican fruit-eating bat)
Lineage: Eukaryota; Metazoa; Chordata; Mammalia; Chiroptera; Phyllostomidae
Exons: 3
Source: RefSeq, a predicted model, not a curated record
GAGAGUAUUCCUAUUGAUUUGAGAGAGAGAGAGAAGGAGACUCAGGGAGAGGAAGAAACAUUGAUGUAAGACAGACAUUGACUUGUUGCCCCCCUAUGUGUCCUACCUGCGGAUUUCACCCACAACCGAGAUAACCCACAAGAUGGCACACUGGUGAUGCUCGAGGUCAGCUGGUGGCUGUUAUCCGAGAUGACAUCCACUCACACUGAAAAAAGGGAAGUUGUAGAAAUGAUCCCAACCUAAAACGGCCACAUGCAGCAUGUCUGAG